Molecule: ribosomal RNA, 118 nt
Filed under: Klebsiella oxytoca
Lineage: Bacteria; Pseudomonadati; Pseudomonadota; Gammaproteobacteria; Enterobacterales; Enterobacteriaceae
Also listed under: 4 other names
Description: partial 16S ribosomal RNA
Rfam family: Bacterial small subunit ribosomal RNA
Source: RNAcentral
AAAUUGAAGAGUUUGAUCAUGGCUCAGAUUGAACGCUGGCGGCAGGCCUAACACAUGCAAGUCGAACGGUAGCACAGAGAGCUUGCUCUCGGGUGACGAGUGGCGGACGGGUGAGUAA